AACGUAGGGGGCCAGCGUUACUCGGAAUUACUGGGCGUAAAGGGUCUGUAGGCGGUGCGGCAAGUCGGAAGUGAAAUCGCAGGGCUUAACUCUGCGGCUGCUUCCGAAACUGCCGUGCUCGAGUGUGAGAUAGGCGAGUGGAAUUGCAGGUGUAGCGGUGAAAUGCGUAGAUAUCUGCAGGAACAUCCGAGGCGAAAGCGGCUCGCUGGAUCACAACUGACGCUGAGAGACGAAAGCUAGGGGAGCAAACAGG
Molecule: ribosomal RNA, 253 nt
Filed under: uncultured bacterium
Lineage: Bacteria
Description: partial 16S ribosomal RNA
Rfam family: Bacterial small subunit ribosomal RNA
Source: RNAcentral